This is a long non-coding RNA of Chinchilla lanigera (long-tailed chinchilla), 1683 nucleotides long. RefSeq lists it as uncharacterized. The transcript is spliced from 4 exons. The record is from RefSeq and is a predicted model, not a curated record. Lineage: Eukaryota; Metazoa; Chordata; Mammalia; Rodentia; Chinchillidae.
AUGUAAGAGAGAGACAGCGAAAAGACACCCUGGGAGGCUCUCCUGGUUCCUGUGUAUGGACACUCCAUAUGUCUGCUGCACAAAUAGCCCCAUAUAUGGGCGAGUCAGGUACAAACUUGCUUUUGCUGGCCAAGCUCCCUUUGCUUCUAAUGGUGGCGUGACUGGUGACCAAUUUUCUAACAGCAGUUUCCUUUCCACCGUGCUGAUGUUUCCAGAAUAAAACCCUCUCCUGUCCACCUCGGGCUCCUGAGGACCCCCAGUCUGCCUCCCGCUAACCUCCCAGGUGCCCGUUUUCUUCCUUUCCUGUGGUGAUAUUACAUUCAGAGUAAGAUGGUGAAAUUGUGCUUGUUCUGCGGUUGGUAGACGCCAGCGUCCAUGAAAACAGCAGCCUCCUGUUUGUCUCUGACUGUCCUCCCCCCCGGAGAAGGGGACUCUAAGAAUAGUUAAACCCAGACUGGAACCUUGGUCUCUAGCGUUGCUAGUUAGAAUCAACAUCGUAGCCACAGUGGACCUGACCUACCUGAGAUGGAGGUCGGUGUUAAUUAUGAAGCGACUCACGCUAGGGCUUCCCACUUGCUUAGCGCUUUUAAUUCAUGCGUGUAUUUCACCUUAACUAUAUCCAAUAAAUCCUGUACGGAAAAUUCUUCUUAAUAUCACUGUGGAAGAAGGGUCCAAAAAUUAACAUCUCUUCGUGGUUGGAAAAGUGACUUGAUGAAGGGAAAGGACACACUCAUUACAAAAAUACCAUUUCCCUUCACAGAUUUGAGGCCCCUGGGUGACACUCUUUUGCAUCUUAACAUAAAAUAUGUAAUGCAGAACCUUCUGGUGUUAACAGAUAGCGGCCAGAGUGCUCUGCCCUGGGCCUUUUGCGAAGAUGCUAGAUAGUCACGCCUCAAGGAGUGUAAAGAAAAUAUUUCUCCCAUAAAUACGGGGUCCUGCUCAUCAAUGAGAAGACACUCUGGAAGGCACUGUCAAUAGCAAAUGCUGUCUGGGGGCAGAGACACUUUCCUGAAUUAAAAAGUCACGUAUGUGUGAGACUAGGCACAUGCAUUUCCAUGCUGAGAAAUGGAUGUCAGUGUUGGAGAAGCUACAGGAAACACUCCUUAGAAAAUAAAACCAAUCUUCCAGAGAACCACCCGCAGGACCCGUUCAUUCAUCACUGGCAGAUCUCCGGCGAAGGAAGAGAAGGCUUCCAAGAGCCCGUGCUUUGGGGGCACACGGCCUCCUUCUGCACUUCCUGGAGAGCUGCCUGUGUUCAAAGAAACCAGAGCUUUCUUCCCGUCACGCCCCUGCUUUCCACGCAGAGCACUUCAGCUGACAAAGCGCUGAUUUUCAGCUCUCCACCGCUCCUCUGGCUGUCAGGAGCUCACAUUUCUCUCUUAAGGUAGAUCCUCUAAGGCCCCUGGAGCGACUGUGCAUUUGAAAGCACUUUGUCUGAAAAGCUUUUUCUCAUUCUUUUUUUUUUUUUUUUCUUAUUCUUUCACAGGGAGAAUUUAUUUCAGAGGGUUGCUUUGUACUCUUUGUGUAUAAAUAUAGAGAGAUAGAGAUAUAGGGAGAGGAGAGACAGAGACAGAUAGAGCUCUGCGGUGGCUGCUUCUUCUCCGUCACCUGCUCUCUGAUUUGCAUGUCUUUCUGCUGUGCUCUUCCCUGGGGGCAGGUAGAGGUAUUCUGGGGCUUUUUGUG